This 7295-nucleotide long non-coding RNA is filed under the name Taeniopygia guttata (zebra finch). RNAcentral describes it as "lncRNA (ENSTGUG00000020989.1)". The record is from RNAcentral. Lineage: Eukaryota; Metazoa; Chordata; Aves; Passeriformes; Estrildidae.
UUUUUUUUUUUUUUUUUUUUUGUUUUUUUUUUGCUAUUAAUGUAUUGCCUACCAGUUAUUUUUCAUGUAAAUUGUAUUAAAGCCAGCAACAGGAGGUGAGUCAUUAGGAGUGAUUUUUAAAAAUAAGAAAAUUUUAUUGUCUAAUCAUAAAAAAAAAAAAACAGAGGACAAAGUACUGUCUGAAAAACUUUCUGUUCAUUUCUGAAAGAUGACUGCAUUUCAGCCUCUUCUUUCUCCCUAAAAAUCUCUGCAGCAGUUGCACAGUGUGAGCAGACAUAAGCUCAGAUACAUUUCUCCCCAUGCAAUAUGGGAACACCUGCUGCCUUUUCUCUUUGAUGUAGAGUUUGGCAGGGAGUAAGAAGACUGAAGCUCUAUAUGAGCCAGUGAUACAGUGCCCUUUGGGGCAUGAUCCUGUACUGACCUGAAGUCACAGGACUCAUUCUCUCAUUCUCUUUCUUCAGUGAGGAACACCACAGAAAAUGCAGAAGGCAUAGAAAUCUGCACUGCAGCAAAAUACCAGGCCAAAACCAAUAACAACCCCUUUUCCAUCAAAAUAAUAAAAAUUCAUACAGUGCUUUGGGGUCAAAAGCUAUUAUUGCUACAUUUUAAAUUCAGAUUCGUCAGCUUUUUCCGUGUGUAACCUCCUUCCUAAUUACCAUAAAAUCAGCUGGGCUGAUUUGGACUGUCUGACCUUAAACACUGCAAAGGGAACUUAACAGGCAAGUGCCAAGGAAUCCAGAGGUAACUCUGAUGCUUUCUAAUGCUGGUGGUGAAUUGCAACCAGAACGCUGAAGAAGAAUUCGGCGUGGAGGUGUCUGUAAUGCAGUGAGUAUCUAAGGACAGUGAGCACUGCUGAAGCAGAACAUGAAAACAUGAGAACUCUGGGCUUGAUUUAAGAUUAAUAAUAUAUACAUGUACAUACACACACAUCUGUGGAAAAUUGCCACUCCUUGAGAAUUUCACUCUCCCAAAAUAUAUCUGCUUAGGCUGAGCACUACAAGUGAGAUGUGUUAUGGGGCUACAAGGUGAUGUUCAUUCAUUCUGAUUUUCAAUAUAAAACAACUAGAUGCUCUCACUUGAGUAUCUUGAUAGGAAAUAACUCAGAUUAGUUUUGUUCUGUUGAAACUCCACUAGAAAUGCCACUAUAUUACUGAGACAGAACAAAAAUAAAAGACUAAGUAACCUCAUAAAGUUCUGGUGGAGCUGAAAACCACUGUUCUCAAGGGCAAAGUUGUCCUUGGAAAAAUGAACUCCUUUCCAAGACUUGCUCAUGUGAAAAGCAAGAACUAGAAAAAUGUCUUAUGGUAGGUUAUUUAAGAAAUAAUUUCCCUGGUCUACUACUCAGGGAUUUGAUUUUGUUCCUUGAGUACCUCAGUGUUUCACAAACAAGCCUUCAAAAUCAAUUUUAAAAUAGCACAAAAGGUAAAAAAAUAUUUUCCACUUCGCUUUUGUUAUUAUAUAAAAGGACCUCCAUCCUUUCCUUCUGCAGUUGAUAUGAAAAUAAUAAGAAACAUUUAGCUAUAUUUUCUUAUAUGACUACAGGCCAUAAAUGACAAAAGGAUGAAUACAAAAUUACCAUCCACACCAACUUCUACAGUCAACCUGUUACAAAAUGCAUUCAAUAAAACAACGCUUUGCAAUCAAAUGAGAUUUUAACUUAAGCUGAUAAGCAUUUUUGGCUUUGAAUGCUGGUAAGAUGGGCAAGAUUUUCUUAGAACUUAUUAUUUAACAUCAUUUAAAAUUGCUUUCUUUUUAUAAUAAAACCACCAUAAAAUCAUUUUACUCCAGAAUUAAUAGGUAUCACCAUUCACACUGUGUGAAUAGUAGAGGAACAGUGAGGAAGAAAAAAUCUGUACAGCACAUUUCACAGUAAUGCACUCUGUCAUAUGAGAGUGAUUGAUGGAUUUCAAGGUCAGAAAAGACCAUGGUGAGCACAUUCUACACUGAAAACAACAGAGAAUGUCAUCACCAUCAUCAGGUGGUCACUGCUAUUAGUCCACAACUUCUGUUUGAAUUAAAGUAUUUAUUGUAUGCCCCAGUUGAAUAAUUUUGAUAGCUUAUCAUCCCACUGAUUAAAAAACCCCUCAUCUUUUAGCAAUAAUUUAUUCAGUUUCAGGUUAAAUUUUCCACCAUUUCUUAUGACUUUAUUCUUGAAAAAUUAAAUUAAGUUUUUCCUUUACCAGAACUACAAAGCUGUCAAGGAAAUUUCCCAAAGUCUUCUUAGUCCAAGUCUCCUUGUUUCAAAACCAACUUUUUGUGUGAGUACAGAUUGUAUUACGCUGGACAUUGUAAGUAUGUUUUGGGUCAUAAAAUCACAGAAUAAUUGAAUAUUUUGGGUGGGAAGGGACCUUAAAUAUCACCCGCUUUCAAUCUCCCUGGUGUGGGCAGGGACUUUUAGGACUUUUCCCUCAAUCAGCUUGCUCAAAGCCCUAUCCAGCCUGGCCUUGAACACUUCCAGGGAUGGGACAUCCACAACCUCUUUGGACAGCCUGAUCCCUGUCUCAACAUCCUGAUAGUAAAGAAUUUUUUCCUAAUAUCUAAUAUCAGCCUACUCUUCUUCAUCUUAAGGCCAUUCCCCCUUCUGCUGUCACUACAUGACCUUGUAAAAAGUCCCUCUCCAGCUUCCUUACAGGCCCUGCUUCAGGUACUGGAAGGCCCCUAUAAAGUCACCCCAAAGCUGAACACUUCCAACUUUUUUAGGCUUUCCUCAUAGGAGAACCGUUCCAGCCCUCUGAUGAUCUUUCUGGUUCUCUGGACUCUCUCCAACAGUUCCAUGUCUUUAUUUUGGGGACCCAAAGCUGGAUGCAAUAUUCCAGGUGGGGUGUCACUAGAGAGGAGCUGAGGGACAGAAUCCCCUCCCUGCCCUGCUGCCCAUGGGCUUUGGAUGCAGCCCAGGACACGUUUGGGUCUCUGGGCUGGGAGUGCCAUGGCUGGGUCAUGCCCAGCCUCUCCCCCACCAGCACCCCCAAAUCCUUCUGGGCAGGGCUGCUCUCAGUCUGCUCAUCCCACAGCCUGUGUUGAUAACAGGGGUUGUCCUGACCCAGGUGCAGCACCUUGCCCUUGAUCUUAUUAAACCUCAGGAGAUUCCCAUGGGCCACUUCUUGAGCUUUUUUAAGUCCCUCUGGAUGGAUCCCAUCCCUCAGGCAGUCAAGCACACCACUCAGCUUGGUGCCAUCUGUACACAUUUACACUCUGUACAUGUGCUGAGGGUGCAUUCAGUCUCACUGUCUGUGGCAUUGGUGAAGACAUCAAAUAACACUGGCCCAGCAGAGACCCCUGAGGGCACCACUUGUCACUGAUCUCCAUCAGGAUCUCAACCAUCCACCACUGCUCUCUGGAUGCAACCAUCACCGGACAGUGCACACAUCACUGGAGAGAGAAAUCCUUCUCUCUCCAGUUUAGAGAGAAGGGUGUCAUGAGGGACAGUGUCAAAGGCUUUAUGGAAGUCAGAUGAAUGACAUCUGCAGCCCUUCCCUUGCCCACUGAUGGAGUCACCCCAUCAUUGAAGGCCACUAGAUUGGUCAGGUGGGACUUGCCCUUGGUACAGCCAUGCUGGUUAUGUCAAAUCACCUCCCUGUCCCCCAUGUGCCUUAGCACAUCUGCUAGGAGGAUCCGUUCCAUGAUCUUCCCAGGCACAGGCUGAGAGUCCCCAGGGUCCCCCUUUUUAUUCUUUUUUAACAUGGGUGCAACAUUUCCCUUUUUCCAGUCACCUGGGACUUCACCUGACUGCCAUGACUCUUCAAAUAUCACAGAGAGUGGCUUGGCAACUACAUCACCCAAAUCCCUCAGGACUCGGGGAUGCAUCUCAUCAGGUCCCAUCAACUUAUGUGUAUUCAGACUCCCUAGGUGGUCACAAACUUGGUCUUAACUUACAGUGGGAAACACUUUGCUUCCCCCACUCAUAAUCAGAAGUAUAAUUUCAAUAAAAAUACAAGUAAUAUUAGCAGCAAAUUGUUUACUUACUGCAGAUGAGGGAAAUAUCCAAAUACCAACAGAAAGAAAAACUGUUUUCAUUUUAAUUUACCUAAACCACCAACUGAGUCAACAACCCACAAACUGACUCAUUUACAUAUAGGUUUUCACCAGAUCUCUCAAUCAUUUUGCAUAAAAUGUUAAAUUCUGAAAAGAUAAGUUUUCUCAAAUGUCAAUAAAAUUAUUACCAUCUUCAAACAUGAAAUCCAUGGUAUUUUUAUAAAGAACUUCUUGUCAUUAUGUGGUUUUGGAUUGCUGUCAUAUCCAACUGUUUUCCAGUGCAUUGACAUGUGGAAUUGACAUGACUAAUAUGUAACUUCAUAAAGUUUUCUCUCUAUUGCUCUCCUUCUGUGUAAAUUUCUCUCAGUGUUGCCCAUUCAGUUCCAGUUCCAGCUUACACAACGGGGUGUAGGCUUUGAGCUUGAUCUGUAGGAAACCACUGUUCAAAGCAGAAUCCAACUCACCUGUGCCUGUGCUGCUGAAUUCAUCCAGUGCCUUUUUCUGGAUUAGCAACCCUUUACUAAAGAAGGGUAACUUUAAACCACAGAGUAUUAUCCUAGUGAAAUCCAGAUGAGAGGCAGUGAAAGGAUGUAAAAUCCAGCUUUGGUCAUCAUCUACCAGCAUGAAACAUGGUAUUAUAGCCAGCUGAACAUGGAAGACAGGAAUUCUUACAGAUAAUAAUGUGUGAGAACAUCAUGGAUAUAACAACAAUUCUUGAACUUCAAAUAGAUUAAAUUCUUUGUAUUUUUUAACCUCCAAAAAAAGGGAAUACCUGUGUAAAACCAAGUAUUCCUCCAGAAUGUUGUAGUUUCUCUGCAGUACUGCGUUUUACUUUUACAAACUGUAGCAUUCUGAGCAUCUUAUGUGGCAGAUUCUUAUUUGGAAAAUAAAAUCAAUACAUGCAGGGAUUGCUUCUGAAGCUGGCAAUGGUAUUGCACAUGUUUCUCUUACAUAAUGAAUAGGGACACUAAAUUUAACACAAUAGAAUCUCCUAACUAUGUAUUUAAAAAAAAAUUUUAGGAUCAUGAAGUGCAAAGAGAAGGAUACUUCUUCAUUAGCUAUUCAAUAUGGCUACAGAUUAGAAAGAAAAUCACCUAUUAGAAACUUGCUUUCCAUAAAUAAAAAGCCUUGUAUACAGAAAUCAAGCUCUGCAGAAAUCUUGAUUACAGAAAAAUAUGUUAAUAAGUACUACAAAAAGUAAGUUCAAGGAAAGUGUGAAUCUAAUGCUUUUACAUCACCAUGUUCAUUUAGGAAUUUUCAAAAUUAGUAAAUUAACUAUCUCAUUUACAUUGCACCAAGAUCAGAGCUGCCACCACAGUUUGCUACUUGGCAUGCAAGCAUUAUCCACAUUUUCUACUCAUAAAAACCAGAUAAAUGUCAUUAUUUGCCUAAUGUCACAUAGCAGGAAAUGGGAAUCAAAUCCUGUUGUAUGGCCACUUGACAUUCAAAGCCCUUCACAACCUGCUUCCUAAUAUUUCUCUCUUCUCCCAUCACCCCCACCUCUCCAGUCAAACAACUUGAGUCCUCCAACUCAUUUUACGUUUAUUUGCUGUUGCCUUCCCGUCAAUACAUUUGGAGCUCCAUUUCUGAACCAAGUUACAGCUUCUCCUCUAUUCAUUACAGCUCAUCUUAAAACCCAGUCCUUCAGGACUAUCAUGGGCCAGCACAGAAGAUGUCCCUGUGUGUGACCAGUUCCCAAUCCCUCCUUACCCAUAUCCACCGACUUUUCAGCCCCUCAGACCUGGUGCAGGUGGGUUUUCAGCCCACAGUGGCGACAAUAUUGCUCUUUCUUCAUUGAGUUAAAUAUUUCUCUUCUUACUACAGUGCAGAAAAGGAUUCAGUCAAACUAAGUUAAUGUAACCAGCAUAUUUUUAACCAUCUUUACACUGCUAUUAAUUUAUGCAACUUUUAAAUCCUUGCAUUACUUAUAUAUCCUACCUAAUUUACCAACCCAUUCAGGCUGGAAGUGCAUCUUUUCAAAGAGCUUUAAAAUUUCCAGCAUGUUAGGUGGUAACAUAAAAUAAAUAAGCACUAUAUAGUUCACUAUAGAUAUUUGAAAAAAAUGCAGUAUUUCUAUAUAAAAAGCAGUCUGCAUCAGAUUUAAGAUGGAUUUAUUUUCUAAUAAACACAGGUGAAAGAAAAAUCCCUAAAACAUAUCUCUGAACAUUUCACAGUAACCCAGGAUAAGUUAGUACUGGAAAAAAAAAACUAUGCUGAACAUGAGCAAUGCAUGAUAAAGUAAAUAAUCAUCAAAAAUUAUGAAACUUGUUAUACUGUAGAAGAAGAAGUAAGGAAUGUAUUUGCAGCCAAGUGUGUCUGUGUUGGUGCAUUUACAUGAUUAUAUACCACAGCCAAAAAUUUUUUGAGCUUAGAAACAAACUGGAAUUUAACUCCAUCUUUUCAGUUUAAAGUUAGUGAUUGCUUAUUGCUUAUUAUAUUUUCAUUGCUUAUUUCAAACUAAGAAUUUAUUUACAAACAAGAUUACUUUUUUUAAAAAUGUCAAUAUAACUGACUUUUCAAAAAUAUAAUUUAAUGCCAAGUCAUAAGAUACUCCAUUACUGUAGAGCCAAAAUGCACUUCAAGAGAAGGUAGACAGUGCUAUCCUCCUACAGAGCUCCUGUUACUGUGGUUUUCUUAGUUUUAAAAUCUUUGCAUUAGAAUGUAUUUACCUUCUAUGUGAUAUGUUUUAGGAGUAAAAAAGGCACCACUAAAGAUUAUAAACCUUAGGACUACAAAGUACUCUUAAGACAGAGGAUUUGGAAACUAUUCUAUUUGAAGUUAAGAUGCAGACCUGAAGUUUGAAAAAAUUCAUGGAGAUAUUUUGGAAAGUUUGGAUGGGAGCUCAUACUCCUCUACAUUUCUCUCAUACAGCCUUUGCUCACACUUUGGUGCUUCUACAGUUGAAGGAAUUUAGCCAGUUUGUCAAAGGUUCCUGGAGUACCACUCAUCUCCUCCUGAUGCAGACACGUAAAAUAGGUCAGAUCAGACAUGUCCCAUAGUACCUCUUCCCCUUCAGUGACCAUAAAUGGGACAGAGGGACUGACUCAGCUGCAGAGAUCUGAUGUAAGAUGAAUCCCACACCACAGAACUAACAAUCCAGCAAGUUUUCUCAAAAGAAAAAACUUGAAAUGUUUCUUAUCAAAAGCAAUUUUAGAAAAAAUAAAAACAACAGACUUUUAAAUAUCUAAUCUAACAGUCUUACUUCUGAGAGAGUACUAAAUUGCUAGAGUUGAAAAGGAAUUUGGAGCAUGUUGAUAUUUCUCAUGAGGUUUGUCAAUAGGUGUAGCUUCCAGCCUGUCUGGGAUUAGAAAAUAAUUGAAAAA